CCUACGGGAGGCUGCAGUGGGGAAUAUUGCACAAUGGGGGAGACCCUGAUGCAGCGACGCCGCGUGAGUGAAGACGUAUUUCGGUAUGUAAAGCUCUAUCAGUAGGGAAGAAAAAAGACGGUACCUGACUAAGAAGCCCCGGCUAACUACGUGCCAGCAGCCGCGGUAAUACGUAGGGGGCAAGCGUUAUCAGGAUUUACUGGGUGUAAAGGGAGCGUUGACGGGGCGGCAAGGCUGAGGGGAAAGGCAGGGGCUUAACCCCUGAGCCGCCUUGGAAACUGCCAUGCUAGAGUGCUGGAGAGGUAAGUGGAAUUCCUAGUGUAGCGGUGAAAUGCGUAGAUAUUAGGAGGAACACCAGUGGCGAAGGCAGCUUACUGGACAGUAACUGACGUUGAGGCUCGAAAGCGUGGGGAGCGAACAGGAUUAGAUACCCGGGUAGUC
This 441-nucleotide ribosomal RNA is filed under the name uncultured bacterium. RNAcentral's name for it is "partial 16S ribosomal RNA". It matches the Rfam family "Bacterial small subunit ribosomal RNA", at positions 338 to 795 of the family's 1533-position model. The record is from RNAcentral.